CGGACGGGACGGCCCGUUCGAUCGAUCGAACACGGGGACGGCCCC
Molecule: non-coding RNA, 45 nt
Filed under: Arthrobacter sp.
Lineage: Bacteria; Bacillati; Actinomycetota; Actinomycetes; Micrococcales; Micrococcaceae
Description: Guanidine-II sequence
Rfam family: Guanidine-II riboswitch aptamer (mini-ykkC)
About the family: Simpler in structure and has fewer highly conserved nucleotide positions than the ykkC-yxkD leader. Despite this each of its two stem-loop structures directly bind free guanidine.
Source: RNAcentral